This 465-nucleotide ribosomal RNA is filed under the name uncultured bacterium. Its description in RNAcentral is "bacterial SSU rRNA". It matches the Rfam family "Bacterial small subunit ribosomal RNA", at positions 338 to 795 of the family's 1533-position model. The record is from RNAcentral.
CCUANGGGGGGCAGCAGUGGGGAAUAUUGCACAAUGGGCGCAAGCCUGAUGCAGCCAUGCCGCGUGUAUGAAGAAGGCCUUCGGGUUGUAAAGUACUUUCAGCGGGGAGGAAGGGAGUAAAGUUAAUACCUUUGCUCAUUGACGUUACCCGCAGAAGAAGCACCGGCUAACUCCGUGCCAGCAGCCGCGGUAAUACGGAGGGUGCAAGCGUUAAUCGGAAUUACUGGGCGUAAAGCGCACGCAGGCGGUUUGUUAAGUCAGAUGUGAAAUCCCCGGGCUCAACCUGGGAACUGCAUCUGAUACUGGCAAGCUUGAGUCUCGUAGAGGGGGGUAGAAUUCCAGGUGUAGCGGUGAAAUGCGUAGAGAUCUGGAGGAAUACCGGUGGCGAAGGCGGCCCCCUGGACGAAGACUGACGCUCAGGUGCGAAAGCGUGGGGAGCAAACAGGAUUAGAUACCCCUNUANUC